This 424-nucleotide ribosomal RNA is filed under the name Bacteroidetes bacterium oral taxon 272. Its description in RNAcentral is "bacterial SSU rRNA". It matches the Rfam family "Bacterial small subunit ribosomal RNA", at positions 28 to 442 of the family's 1533-position model. The record is from RNAcentral. Lineage: Bacteria; Pseudomonadati; Bacteroidota.
GAUGAACGCUAGCUACAGGCUUAACACAUGCAAGUCGUGGGGCAUCAUGAUGUAGUAAUACAUUGAUGGCGACCGGCGCACGGGUGAGUAACGCGUAUCCAACCUACCCUCCACUCAAGUAUAGGCUUCCGAAAGGGAGAUUAAUCCUUGAUAUCGUCAUUCUCUCUCCUGUUAGAAUGAUAAAAGGACAUCGUUUCGGUAGAGGAUGGGGAUGCGUUCCAUUAGGUAGUAGGUGGUUUAACAGGCCACCUAGCCGAUGAUGGAUAGGGGUUCUGAGAGGAAUAUCCCCCACACUGGUACUGAGAUACGGACCAGACUCCUACGGGAGGCAGCAGUGAGGAAUAUUGGUCAAUGGGCGCAAGCCUGAACCAGCCAUGUAGCGUGAAGGAUGACGGUUUUUUUGAUUGUAAACUUCUUUUCUGUG